UACGAAGGGGGCUAGCGUUGCUCGGAAUGACUGGGCGUAAAGGGCGCGUAGGCGGCGGACACAGUCAGAUGUGAAAUUCCUGGGCUCAACCUGGGGGCUGCAUUUGAUACGUGUUUGCUUGAGUGGGGAAGAGGGUCGUGGAAUUCCCAGUGUAGAGGUGAAAUUCGUAGAUAUUGGGAAGAACACCGGUGGCGAAGGCGGCGACCUGGUCCUUGACUGACGCUGAGGCGCGAAAGCGUGGGGAGCAAACAG
This 252-nucleotide ribosomal RNA is filed under the name uncultured bacterium. RNAcentral describes it as "partial 16S ribosomal RNA". It matches the Rfam family "Bacterial small subunit ribosomal RNA", at positions 524 to 775 of the family's 1533-position model. The record is from RNAcentral.